GAUGAACGCUGGCGGCGUGCUUAACACAUGCAAGUCGAACGAAGCACUUUAUUUGAUUUUCUUCGGAAAUGAAGAUUUUGUGACUGAGUGGCGGACGGGUGAGUAACGCGUGGAUAACCUGCCUCAUACAGGGGGAUAACAGCCGGAAACGGCUGCUAAUACCGCAUAAGCGCACGGUACCGCAUGGUACAGUGUGAAAAACUCCGGUGGUAUGGGAUGGAUCCGCGUCUGAUUAGCCAGUUGGCGGGGUAACGGCCCACCAAGUCGACGAUCGGUAGCCGGACUGAGAGGUUGAACGGCCACAUUGGGACUGAGACACGGCCCAGACUCCUACGGGAGGCAGCAGUGGGGAAUAUUGCACAAUGGGGGAAACCCUGAUGCAGCGACGCCGCGUGAGCGAAGAAGAUCCUCGGAUUGUAAACCUCUGUCUUCGGGGACGAAAGAAGACGGUACCCGAGGAGGAAGCCACGGCUAACUACGUG
This 482-nucleotide ribosomal RNA is filed under the name uncultured bacterium. Its description in RNAcentral is "bacterial SSU rRNA". It matches the Rfam family "Bacterial small subunit ribosomal RNA", at positions 28 to 507 of the family's 1533-position model. The record is from RNAcentral.